Molecule: long non-coding RNA, 30507 nt
Filed under: Sorghum bicolor (sorghum)
Lineage: Eukaryota; Viridiplantae; Streptophyta; Magnoliopsida; Poales; Poaceae
Description: long non-coding RNA (SBIC_LNC008999)
Source: RNAcentral
CUAAAUACACCAUAGAACAUCACUAAUUACAUUAAAGAACAUCGUAUAUAUAUUACGUGAAAAUAAAUAAGAAUUUGGUACUAUAAUAUACAUGAAAAUAAUUAAUUAUAUAUGAAUUUGAGCAGAGACAAUAUUCUAGAUUUAUAAGAAAUUGGUGACACAUGACUACUAGCACUACUGUGUAUACCUGACAAGGAAACAAUAUAUAAAACUAGGGUUUACAACUUAGGUUUCAACUAAGGGUUUGGGGUUUAUGGCUUAGCCACUAAUUGUACCACUAAUUAUAGCACUAAUAAUUGUACCACUAAUAAAUCCAUCUCGACAUACCUGUAGUUUGAAGGCGGUGAGACGGCGGAGAGACGGCAGUCGGUGCGGAGACUCGACGGGGACUUCGGUGACGACGGCAGAGAGACGUCGAUCUGAAAGAAGGAAGAAAUAGGGAACAAAUAUUAUAUCACAUUUACAUAUUGUGGCACUUGCAUGAAGCACUAAAUAUAGAAACAAACGAAAAUGCUACAGUACCAAAAUGCUAUAGUGUGAAAUACAAAAUUUUUUGGAACUAAACAAGGCCUAAUUAUUUUUUUGGAACUAAACUUAUUGGAAUAGUAGCAUUUUCGUUUGUAUUUGACAAAUAUUAUAUUGUCCAAUUAUGGACUAACUAGGCUCAAAAGAUCCAUCUCGUCACCGAUGCAUUAUUUUUUUUGAACGAAACAAGGCCUAAUUAUGGACUAACUGUGCAAUUAGUUUUUAUCUAUAACUCUUAUAAAGCUAAACCCCACUAGAUGAAUUCUCUCUUCAUGCAAGGUGUCCACAUCAUUUCCCACUAAGUAACCCACUAAAUAUUUUAUCUCUACAUAUAAGGUGUCCACAUCAUUACUCACUAAGUCCAUGUCAUCCUAUAUUAAUUACAAAAAAUGACCAUGACAUCUAUAUCAUGUGAAAUACUUUAAAUCUUUAAUCUAUUAACAUACAAGUUAUGUACAUACAAUAUUUGUUUCAUCACCAAUUAAUUCCUCUAUAAUGUAACCAAACAUUAGUUUUUGUUCUAUUAGCUUAGAAAUUUUUUACUAGAUCUAAUACAAUAAAAUAUAUGCAAGUCAAAUUCAUAUGUAUACAUACAUAAUAGACUCAAUAUUAUAUAGUAAUGAUAUAUAUAAUGAUUUAUUUUUAAGAAAUUCCCGCGGCAACGCGCGGGGAAUUCACCUAGUUUUUAUCUAUAUUUAAUACUCCAUGCAUACGUCUUAAGAUUCGAUGUGACGGGGAAUUAAAAAAUUUUACAAAAUUUUUGAGAAACUAAGGCCUUGUUUAGUUCACCCCAAAAUCCAAAAAAUUUUCAAGAUUCUUCGUCACAUCGAAUCUUACGACACAUGUAUGAAACAUUAAAUAUAUACGAAAAUAAAAACUAAUUACACGGUUUGUUUGUAAAUUGCGAGACAAAACUUUUGAUCCUAGUUAGUUUAUGAUUAGAUAAUACUUUUCAAAUAAAAACGAAAGUGCUACAGUAUUGAAAUCCGAAAUUUUUUCACAACUAAACAAGGCCCUAAACAAGGUCGGCUCGGCCGCCGGUGAGGGUCGAGCUCGGCCGCCGGUGAGGGCGCACGUGGCCGCGCGGCCGACGGCGUCCUGCCCGCGCCACUGAGGGCGCAGAGGGCGCGUGCGAGAGAGAAAAAGAGAGAGUGGCGGCGGGGGCGCGGCGUACGAUGGAGGGGGCGCUCGGAGCGGCGGCGGCAACGACAGCGUCGUGGACGAAGAGAAGAACGGCGGCGGUUAGGGCUCGGGCGCGGUGGGGAAGGAGAAGAAAGGGCUCUGCCCUUUAUAGGGCAGAGCACCUUUAGUCCCGAGCGGUGGCACGGCCCGGGACUAAAGGUUUUUCACCAAAUUAUGGCGCCAGUUCAGGCGCCAUAAUUUGGUUUUCCCUUUUUUAUUUUCCCUUUACAUUGUUAAAUGCAUUAUAAAUUAAAUAAAUCUGAUAAAAUUUUUAAAAAAUACACAUUAAUUUUAUUCUGCUCUACUCUUGAGUAUAAAAAUUCUUAACACAAUUGCUUUUUAAAUAUUUCAUAUUACUCAAAAUAAAUAUUAUUCAUAAUGAAUAUUUUGUUAAUGCAAAAAUAUAAUGACCAAUUAAAUUUUAAAAAAUUGUUGGCUUUAGACAGAUACUUUGUUUUUGGGUCAUUUGGACGUUAAACUUUUGUUUCUUUAGUAAUAAUUAUACAAAUGCGCGACAUUGAUUGUAUAAAUUUGAAAUUUAAAUUUUCAAAAGUUGUAAGAUGUAUUUGGGAACCCUGCAUGGCCUCAAAUGGAAAACUCAUGAAUACAAAGUUUGUUCUGCUCAUCAAGACCUACAUUUUCUCUAGUGGUCACAUUUUCAUUUGAAAAAGUUUAGACCACUCAAUUUUGAAAUUUGAAUGAAUUCAUAGCGAAACGCUAAUUUUCAGAACCAUGGAUGGCCUCAAAUGGAAAACUCAUGAAUACCAAUAUUGCUCCACUCAUCAAGAUCUACAUUUCAUAUAUAGACCAUUUUUGCAUUUGACAAAGUGUUGGCAAAGUGUAGUUCAAAAUCCACACUUCCCACGUAUAGUUUCAUAAAGUUUGUGUGAGAUUCAAGAUUUGGUGAGUAUUGUCUACAUAAACUUUCCCAAAUGGAAAAAUGGUCUAUAUAAAAAGUUUGGAUAUUGAUGAGCUCUAACAACUUGGUAUUCAAAAGAUUUCCAUUCCAAGUCAUUUUCUCCGUCGUUUGACCAAGUUUGACCAAAGCCCGUCUUCGAAUUUGAAAACACGUGCCUCGGACUCGAUCAAAUUUAUCCGGAUGAAAAUAUGAUCCAUAUAUGAAAUAUAGGUCUUGAUGAGACCUAACAACUUGGCAUUCAAAAGUUUUCCAUUUGAAGUACUCAGGUGGGUCAUUUGACCAAGUUUGACCAAAGUCAAAAUAGUGGGUUUCACAAACACACACUUUGACCGAGCCCUGGAUGGCCUCAAAUAGAAAACUCAUGAAUACAAAGUUUGUUCCACUCAUCAAGACCUACAUUUUCACUAGUGGUCACAUUUUCAUUUGAAAAAGUUUAGACCACUCAAUUUUGAAAUUUGAAUGAAUUCAUAGCGAAACGCUAAUUUUCAGAAAAUGUAGGUCUACAUUUCAAGAUCCACUCAUCAAGAUUGCUCCACUCAUCAAGAUCUACAUUUCAUAUAUACAUUUCAUGAAUACCAAUAUUGACCAAGUUUGACCAAACUCAUGAAUACCAAUAGUUCAAAAUCCACAUCAAGAUGUUACAAUUAUAUUACCCAUAAUGUUACAAUUAUAUUACACAAGAUUUCAAGUACAAAUCACUACCAUUAUCAAGCUAGCACAGUGGUAAACUUUUUCUUAACAUAAUGCCCUUGGUUAUGAUCAUUCCGUAACCAUGGAGUGUCCUCUGCAGCGAGCAUGAUGCUUGGGUCUUUGGCCACAUAGAAGGGUGGGAUCUGUUCAUCCUUUUCAUAAUCCUCUGACACGUCUGACUUGUCUUCAAUUCCCACGAUAUUUCUUUUCCCUGUAAGAACGAUGUGUCGCUUUGGCUCGUUGGUGUUUUUCUCGUCUUGUUUCCCUCUCUUAGGUUUUGUAGACAUGUAUUUCACAUAGAACACUUGAUUCACCUUAGUACCGAGGACGAAUGGAUCGUCUGUAUAUCCAAUAUUGUUGAGGUCCACUGUUGUCAUUCCGUACUCCUUAUCGACUGAUACCCCUCCUUUCAUCUUCACCCAUUGGCAUCGGAAUAAAGGGACUUUAAAAUUAUGUGCAUAGUCUAGUUUCCAAAUCUCCUCUAUACGACCAUAAUAUGUGUGCCUGUCCCCAUUCGUGUCCGUGGCAUCCACACGGACGACACUGUUUUGGUUGGUACUCUUUUUAUCUUGUGAUACGGUGUAAAAUGUAUUUCCAUUUAUCUCGUACCCUUUGUAUGUGAGGACGUGCCACGCUGGUUGCCUAGCCAACAAAUAAAGUUCAUCUCCAAUAUCUUUAUCACCCUGGCAUUUUUUUCGCAACCAGUCACCGAAUGUUUCCAUGUGAUGAUGCGUAACCCAAGUCUCAUUCUUUCCAGGAUUCUCGGAUCGUACAAAAUCCAUGUGUUCCUCAAUAUAGGGUUCCACCACAAUGGAGUUUCGAAGGACUGUGUAGUGCGCUUUAUUGAAUAAAUCAUCACCCUGGCUGAUAUAUGUUUUCUUUCCUAGUGUACCCUUUCCACCGAGUCUCCCCUCAUACCUUGAUUCAGGAAGACCAAUCGGGUCAAGAUCAGGAAUAAAGUCCACACAGAACUCAAUGACCUCCUCUGUCCCGUAUCCCUUGAUGAUGCUUCCUUCUGGCCGACCCCGCUGGUGAACAUAUUUUUUCAGUACACCCAUAAAUCUCUCUAAAGGAAACAUGUUGUGUAGGAAGACAGGACCCAGAAUAUGAAUCUCUUUGACCAGAUGAACUAGGAGAUGUGUCAUGAUAUCAAAGAAAGAUGGAGGAAACACCAACUCAAAGCUGACAAGACAUUGAACCACAUCGUUCUGUAGAGUAGCUAGAUCAAGAGGAUUGAUUGCCUUCUGAGAAAUUGCAUUGAGGAAUGCACACAACUUCACGGUGGCCAGACGUACAUGUGGAGGUAGAAUUCCUCUUAAGGCAACCGGAAGCAGUUGUGUCAUAAUCACGUUGCAGUCGUGCGAUUUUAAGUUGACAAAUUUUUUCUCUGGCACAUUUAUUAUACGCUUUAUGUUGGAGGAGAACCCAGAUGGGACCUUGAUGCUGCUUAGGCACUCAAACAUGAUUUCCUUCUCCUCAUUGCUAAGAGUGUAGCUAGCAGGUCUUAAAUACUAGCGUCCAUCAUCUGUCUGCUCUGGAUGCAGGUUGUCUCAUUCUUUCAUGCGCUUUAAGUCCUCUCGAGCCUCAAGGGUAUCCUUAGGCUUUCCAAACACACCCAUAAACCCUAGGAGAUUGACACAAAGAUUCUUGGUCAGGUGCAUCACGUCGAUGCAGUGGCGGACCUCAAGGUGUUUCCAAUAUGGUAGCUCCCAAAAUAUUGACUUUUUCUUCCACAUUGGGGCACGCCCCGAAGCGUCUUUCGGAACAGGUUCGCUGCCUUCUCCCUUUCCAAACACUACUUUCAAAUCUUUGACCAUCUCGAAUACCUCUGCCCCGUCUCGGUUGCCUGGCUUGGACCGGUGUUCUGUCGUACCUUUAAAAUGUUUGCCUUUCUUUCUCAACUGGUGGUUCUUAGCAAGAAAUCAACGAUGGCCAAGGUACACGACCUUUCGGCAUUUUUUCAAAUAGAUAGCUUGAAGGUCACCAAAGCAAUGGGUGCAAGCAUUAUAUCCCUUGUUUGUCUGUCCUGAAAGAUUGCUUAGAGCUAGCCAAUCAUUGAUUGUCACAAACAACAAUGCUCGUAGGUCGAAUGCUUCCUGUUUGUACUCAUCCCACAUACGCAAACCUGGUUUGCUCCAUAGAAGCUGGAGUUCCUCAACCAAUGGCCUCAGGUAAACAUCGAUGUCGUUGCCAGGUUGCUUCGGACCUUGGAUGAGCACCGGCAUCAUAAUGAACUUCUGCUUCAUGCAUAACCACGGAGGAAGGUUGUAGAUACAUAGAGUAACGGGCCAAGUGCUAUGACUAGAGCUCUGGUCCCCAAAAGGAUUAAAUCCAUCCGUACUCAAUGCGAACCUUAGGUUUCUUGCGUCCUCUGCAAAUUCCGGGAAUUCUCUAUCAAUUUCUCUCCACUGAGAACCAUCUGCAGGGUGUCUCAACAUGUUGUCCACCUUACGGUCUUCUUUGUGCCAUCGCAACAACUUUGCAUGCUCCUUAUUUCUGAACAAACGUUUUAGGCGUCAAAUUAUUGGAGCAUACCACAUAACCUUGGCAGGGAUUCUCUUUCUCGGACGUUCUUCAUCCUCAACAUCGCCAGGGUCAUCUCGCAAGAUCUUGUACCGUGACGCAUGGCAAACAGGGCAUUCAUCUAAUUUCUCGUACUCGCCACGGUACAGGAUGCAGUCAUUAGGGCAUGCAUGUAUCUUCUCGAUUUGUAAUCCCAAAGGGCAGACAAUCUUUUUUGCUUCGUAUGUAGUGGUGGGUAACUCAUUAGGCUUUGGAAGCAUCUUUUUUUGGAUCUUCAGUAAUUUUCCAAAUGCCUUGUCAGAAAUACCAUUCUCUGCCUUCCACUUUAACAACUCCAGUGUCGUUCCUAGCUUUUUCUGUCCCUCUUUGGCCGACAGGUAGAGUAGCUUCUUGUGAUCCUCUAGCAUUUGGUCAAAUUUAGCCUUCUCCUUUGCACUUUCGCAAUCUCUCUGUACGUCGCGAAUGACAUCACCAAGAGCAUCGUCAUCAUCAACGAUACUGUUUCCUGCAUCCCCGUCUUCAUCACCUUCGUCCUCUACUGUGAAGUUGCAGUAUUGAGCAAAAACAUCGUCAGGGUACGCUUGCUCUUCUUCACCUUCUUCCAUCAUAACCCCAGACUCUCCGUGUUUGGUCCAACAAAUAUAGUUUGGCAUGAAACCAUUCGUGAACAAGUGCAAGUGAAUUUCUCUUGAGUUUGAAAAUUCCUUCAAAUUCUUACAAACGGCACAUGGGCAGCACAUAAAACCAUCCCGCUUAUUUUGCUCCGCCACUCUGCGGAAUUCUCGCACGCCCUCAAUGAACUCGUUGGAGCGGUGAUCAGCAUUGUACAUCCAAUGGCGUGCCAUUAUCUGCAUUAUCAUGGAAUUAUAAUUUUUCUAUUAAAAGCUAUAAUUUUAUCAGUAAAGAAAAUUAAUUUCAAUAAUUUUUAAAGUGAAAAACAAUUUAUUUAACAAUUACAACAAAAAUUAUAUUAUUAAUAUUUUAAAAUAAGAACAUGAACAUAUUAAAGUAGAAAAUAUCCUAUAAUAUCUAUAAUAGAACUUAACAUGAUUCGUGUAUACAUAGUAGUAAUGAUUUGUGUAUACUAGUUUUUAGCGGGCACACACUUAGCAUCGUUCAAAAAAAUUCAAACAUGAGAAGACGAUGAUUGGAGAGAUGGCAACAUGAAAUAAUCAAAAUAGACAUAUGUCCAAUAUGAAAUUACAUAUGGCGGUGAGAAACAUAGGAGGAUGAAGCUAGCAACCUUUCAAACAAAUCGACGACGGCGUAGAAGCGUUGAAAUGGAUCGAUCGUGGAAGAUGAGAGCACUAACAAGCAAGAACAAUGGAAGAACAAGCAAGAACAAAGCACCUCGAGCUCGGGCAGGGAGAGGAAGAAGGGAGGAGGGAGAUUCAAUUUAUAGCGGGGAGGGUUUAGUCCCGGUUGGUGUUACCACCGGGAGUAAAUACCUACCUUUAGCCCUGGUUAGUGCCAACGACCGGGACAAAAGCUUUAGUCCCGGUUAGUGUCACAAACCGGGGCUAAAGGUUUGUAUUUACUCCCGGUUGGUAACACCAACCGGGACUAAAGGUCCCUCUCCGACAGCGCCUGACACCAGAGGUUGGGGAGGGACCGUUAGUCCCGGUUGGCUUUACCAACCGGGACUAAAGAUUUCUUUUGUCCCGGGUGCUAAAAAUACCGGGACUAAAGCUCAUUUGGCACAUCGACGAAAGGUCUGUUCUCUAGUAGUGUACAAUCGGUUCUAGUUUCAGGUCGAGGAUGUCUUGUUAAAUGGUCUCUUUUGUCUCGUGAUCGACGACCCUCAUUUGCACAAACAAAUCUACAUGAUGUAAUUUUGCCAUCAGAUGUAUACCUUUUCCUCACCUCAAAGCCUUUUUGCCCACCAUAGCUAAGCCAAAAUGCCCAAGCCUCAUCUGAAUUUCUAAAUUACAUGCCAACAUAUGGUGCCAAACAAGGCAUCAAGGUCUCACUGUACAAGAAGAAGAAUACUACCAAGUAUGAGACUAAUGCAUAAAUAUACUAACCCAAAAACUCAUUUAAUCUUUUACUAAAAUUUGUGCCAAAGAGAACAUGAGUAGCGAUACUUGGGGACAACUAAAACUUACGAUAAAACAAGAUGGGGUUGUAUUACUUACGCAUUGGAACAUCGGUGUACUGUGUUAGCAUCUUCUUUCAUCUUCAGUAGCAUAGAAGUAAAUUUGAUUGCAGCCGUAAACUUGAGCUUCAGUCAAUCACUUCUUCGCCUUUGUAUCUCUCUCUAUCUCUCCUUUUUUCCCUUUGGAAGUAAAAGGAAGGCUAAAUAAUUGGGGAUAUUUUUCUCGCGCGAAAAUCUGCAGCCUUUGGUGCUAUUUUCCCUCCCACCAUCAGCAACAGGUAUGUUGUGGAUCUGGUUUCUUCAUAACCUGGUCAAAUCAAUAACGUAUAGUUAUCAUCACACGAUGAAAAUUACCUAGAGAAAACAAAGCAAUCAUCAAAGGUAGGGGAAAAAGACAUAGUGCUUCACAAAUCAUGCCGCUGCAAGUUAUUCACUGCGCGAGCAUCCUCAGGCACCAAUAAAAUUAUACUGAUAAACAAAGAAAAAAAAUGCAGCAGUUCAUGAGUUCUUACGAGGAUAUCUGCCCAUUCUUACCUAAAGGGACAGGUUGCCCUAUUCCAAGAUCUAAUCAACAAACCUAGGGUUUUUAAAAUGCCAAGCCACAAACAUAUAAAAGCAGACCAGCACAUUUCAGCCCCAAAUACAAAUAAACGAAUCCUACAAGGCUAACGCCGCCGCCAUCAGUAAUUUAGUCUAGCCUCAUGAAGAAGUUGAACUAAAGAAAACCUAGGAUCGAACAUGUACCUCGUUCACCCAGUUCAUGUUUCAGUCUUCAGCGCAUCCCCUCCAGUGAUUGCGGCUCGAGGCUACCAGUUCGAGCAGCAGGUCCGGGAGGUCCAGCGAGCGGCGGCCACCGGCUCGAGGCGCGUACAGGGGGAGCGGCGGGGGAGGCGCGACGAGCCCGAUGGCGCUCCGUCACUCUGUGUCCACGCAGAAAGGAAGAUGAGGCACGCCCAAACGAAGAAACAAUAAAGGGAGAAUGACAUGUGGGAUCGAUUGAUAACAGGUGAGACCUGUUGAUAACGGUCGUUAGUAAUGUUAAAACCUGUGUCAUCCCUUCAGGUUUUGAUUGACAAUUUGCAAUGAUAUGUGUGUAUUUCAUUACAACUCUUUUAAUAUAAAAAUUCUUAGCAAGUCGCUAUUUUAUUUGGCAAGUCAAAAAAUCUUUCUCCAACAAUAAAUCAUCAUAAGGGUGGUUUUUUUCCUGGAGCUAUUUGCAAAGUGAACAUAAAACUUUCUCGUAAUUAAUCGAACCCAAAUCAAAAAUUUUUUCUCUCUACGCAGUUUUACAAAGUGAACAUGGUAAAAAGUUUCUAUUUGCAUAGAUGCCCUUCUCUCCGUCUACGGCGACAGACGGAGCACAACGGCGGUCUCGCGGCUCUGGCACCGGCGUCAGGCGUCGCGCUCGUGGCCGACGGCGCGCCAGGCGGUGGGCGGUGGCCGAGCAGCGGCGGCGGGGUGAGCUGCGGCCGCGCUCGCGGCGGGAGGCGCGCCGGACGGCGGGUGGCGGGCGAUGGUCGGGUAGCGCGGUGCGAGGACGGGACGGACAAGCGGACUGGUGCAGCUCCGGAUUCAUCAAUUAGUGCAAUAUGUUGUAACCCCGAAUGUCGUGCACAGUAUUAAAUUCAUGCAUCACGUAUUUUAAUGCAGAUAAUACUGAAGAGAAACCUGUCAUGCCACUAGAGUGCAUACUAGCUAGUCUCUAGCAACAUCAAAACGUGAGAUGGUCAAGUUCAAGACAAAUUCUAAAUUCACGAUAAAAAGGCCAACCAUAGCAAUACACAACACAAACAGGAUGCCCAUAACCAUUCUAGACACACACACACAAAAAAAAGGCCACAAAACUCGCCUCAGAAAAGGCACCUGAGAAAAUCACCUUAGGUGAACCUCUACUGCUCUAGAGACUAGAGCCAGCAGCCGCGCACCCACAUCACUAACAGAGACAUCAUUUGGCCGCACAUCUCAGACGCAGCUCGUCACAGACAGCCCGCAGUCCCGCACGAUCGCUCACCUCGACCGCAACCAAAUUCCCAAGCGCACGCAGCAACACCGAGAUCCAAGCCACGGCACCAACAAGACUAAACGGAAACAGGGUCCUGGGUCCCCAAAAAACGCUCGCCCAAUUCUACACACGGAAGCGCCGCCCGCAAUCCCCACUACAAUUCCCCCCUGAAUCGUGUGCUUGAUAUCCAGUGUUCACUUAUAGUCUGGUCAUCUUAUCGUCGAUGGAGAAAAUGGGCCAACUAGGGCCCAAGCAGGGGGCGCCACCACCGCUGCAGCUGGGCUGCCCUAGGAGGGGCGCACACCCAAGAGGGGAGGGGCGCCAUGCCUACCACUGUCGUCGUCUCCGUCUUUGCUAUCUGUGGUUACCAUAUCUAGUCGCAGUUGGUUUUAGAAAGAGUUUAUUCAGAUAGAAAGUUGAGUUUUUGUUAGAUGGAAAAGAGAAUCUACGUUCGAUAAGAAUCUCCUAGUUUGCUUGCAAGUCAAGUCCCCUAGGGACUAUAAAUACUUAGGGAUAUGUAACGAGAUCAAUCAAGUAAUAGACGAGUGAAAGCCCUUUCCCUAUCUCUCUUCUCUCUCUCUCUCUCUCUCUCUCUCUCUCGCUUGCACACCACCCCCUCUCCCUUCCCUAGCCGCCGCCAACCUUGCCUACACCGUCAGUGACCGCCUCGGUCAUGACUAUUACACCUAGUAUCCAGAGACCAUAUUGAUCGCCAUGCUGCUACUAUGGCCAAAUUAGCUGAGAUCCAAAAGCUCAACGCUAAUUUCUCCAAAGACAUUAUUGCCAAGAUCGACACUGUCCACUCACAGAUUACCGACGUCAACAGCCACCUCAACACCUUCGAGAUGAGAUGCUUGGACAAGGACAUGGUUGACGAGCUUGAGCGUGGGAAGCAGCUACUCUCCAUCAAGCUAGAUGACACCAGAGAUGCAAUGGAGAAAGCUAGUUGUGACUUCAUCAAGGUGUAGACCGGAACUCGCCGCCAAGCUAGAGGCUAAGCUCUUCUGCAAGGAGCCCAAACCAGAGAUCCAUCUAGGUAGAGUUGCACCAACCACGUUCUUAGCACUGGAGAUCCAUCCCCACAUGUUGUCCUUCAUGACAUGCAAUGGCAAGGAGGACCCCUGCCACGGAUCAACAGUGAGAGCUAUUCUUUGGUCAAUGGAGCCUAGAGAGAAAAAACAUGGCAUGCUUCUUACCAUCUAACUAGUGCCGCACAAUAGUGGUACAUGAGACUCUUACAGGAUGAUGAUGUGACAAACUAGGCAUAGUUUGCUCAGUGCGUCAAUGAGCGCUUUGGACCUCCCAUGAAGCGUAAUCCUCUAGGUGAUCUCACCUCCCUAUGCAAGAUGAGAACCAUCAACGAAUACAUGGAGCGCUUCCUAGUGCACGUGGCUUAGGCUGGUAACCUUGACAAACGCUAGCAAGUCGACAUCUACAUCGCUGGCCUCCUAGAACCACUAAAUACGGAUGUCGAGCUGCUCAACCCGCAGGACAUGAAGACGGCCAUGUCUCUAUCACAGCCAUAUAAGUGGCAUUUAGCGGUCGUCAAUGAAGCCAACAAGGCAUUGGUUUUUAAGCUAGGGUGACUUCCUCCACCGAAGGUGACUACAACCAUGAUAACAACGACCACACCUACGACAACUAUGAUGGGUGCCACGUCACCAACACCCCACCCCUUCAAGCAUCUUACCGAUAAAGAGAUGGCGGUACAAUGUAGCGUUGGUCUCUGCUUUAGCUGUGAUGAGUUAUUGUCAUGUGGCCACAAGUGCAAAUUGUUGUUCGACAACACCAUUGUUAACAACUAUGACCUGGAGGAGGCUGAUGAUAGCCUCAUGAUGAUGAUCAGCAGGCUCCACAUAGAAGUCCAAGGCGCCUCCCUCAUGUACAUCGAGUGGAUGAUGAAUUACACAGGCGGUCUUAGUGGAUUUGGGAUUGACACAUAACGUCAUCAACAUCAACAUCGCCCGCUCCUUUGGUCUCUAGGAUCAGUGCAUCAACAUAACCAUACUCGUUGGCAACAACAAUGAGGUGCCAUGCCAUGGAGCAUCCUUCCAAGUACCACUAUGCAUCGGUAGCGACUCCUUUGACAUCGACACCUUCCUCUUCGACAUUAGCAACAUCAUCCAUGUCAUUCUCGGCAUGCCUUGGCUAGCUAGCUUCGAGCGUAUUACUCGGGACUUCAUCAGCAUGGAGAUGCUCUACUUCUACAACAGGCAUCCAAACACCUUCCAUGGCUCCCUUUUUCAUUAGGCGCAAAUAAUGGUGCUUGCACUCCUGGCACCCCCACUAAAGGUAUGUGAAAGAUCAGACUUCACCACUAGAACCUCCUUGUAAUGUGAUGAACAGGUCACAAAGAGCUUGACUCCCCAAUGCCCUUGACCUCUUUGAAGACCCCAAUGGCAUCAUGCUCACGCACCUACGCUAGGCCGUCAGAGAGCAGCAUGAGCUCUAUACAAUCACUAUGGCCAUCAUGGAGGGCCAGGUUGUGAAUGCUUGGUCUUUAGACAAAGGUCUCAUCUUCUUUGAUGGGUGAUUCUACCUACCUACAACCUUGGUGUCGCUACUGAGCCUUUUAUAGGUUUGUUGACAUGGUGGUUCCGCUAGCAUGGAGCUGCUAGCAUUGGGAGCGCAUGAACCACCGACACAAAGAAGGAUAGUUAACUGGGGUACCCUCCCAUAUUAUCUUGGGUCAUCCCUAGUUACUAUGACAUCCUAUAGUGGCAAUGAUGGUGAUCUUCUUCGACACAUUGAACCUUGGACCAUCCAUGUCGACAACAUCAACAUCGGGCUUCUUCUAGGCUCCAUCGACCACCGCAUGUCACCAGGCAAAUUCAACCGAGGGGCCUUCGUCUUUGGCUCCAUGUUGGACCUCAUGACAUCACCACCAACAUGCUCAACAAUGACAAUUUGGUGCCAAGUACAACUCUCCUCUAGCAUCGACAUCAACAACCACAUCCAUGGUUUCAUCACCCCUCCACGAGUGAUGCUUUUCUUCAGCUUCCAGGCCUCGGUACAAUGUCCUCUUCUUGUUGUAGCAAGGGCAGGCACAUAAAUGGGAUCUUCAGGCAACAUCUUCUACUAUCUCUUUGGCUACAUCGGCAACCUCUAGUACUGCUUUGAGUUUGCACCAGUAUGGGCAUGCGAGAACAUUAUUCUCACUAAUCCCCUUAGUGGCCACGUUAUGUGCUACUUGGAGGAGGUCCAGCACGAGGAGAUCUGCCACCAAAAGGAGUCAACGAAUGGGUCACAUGUCAGCACGAGGAGGCGUUGAGCGGAGGAGAGAGUACUGUCGAAUGCCCAACAUAGGCCAUACUUGUUGGCGGAGAAAAUGGGCCAACCAGGGCCCUAGCGGGGGGCACCAUUGCUGCCACAGCUAGGCUGCCCUAGGAGGGGCGCACGCCCAAGAGCGGAAGAGGCACCAUGCCCGCCACCACUAUCGUCUCCAUAAUUGCUACCUAUGGUUACCAUAGAUAGUUGUAGUUGGUUUUAUAAAGAGUUUGUGAAGAUAGAAAGUUGAGAGUUUAUUAGAUGUAAAGGAGAAUCCAUGUUCAAUCAGGAUCUUGUAGUUUUCUUGCAAAUCAAGUCCUCUAGGGACUAUAACUACUUAGGGAUAUGUAACGAGAUCAAUCAAGUAAUGGAUGAGCGAAAGCUCUUUCCCUAUCUCUCUUCUCUCUCUCUUGUGCGCCGCCCCCCUAGCUACUGUCCUAGCUCUCCAUGCCACCGCCCCUGCUUACACUGUUGUUGACCGCCCCGAUCACAACUAUUACAUGUAUAGUCUAUUUGUAUAUAUGAAAAAAAUAAUGAAGAACAUUUUUGAUCAUUAAACUAUGAGUUUUUAUUCUAGUCAUGAAACUCCUUUGGCCAUCCAACUAUCAGAACCGUGCAUGCGACAUCUCUCUCUCCAUGCGCAAUCUCUCUUAGCGCCAAUCACUCACAUUUUAAAUUUUAUUAGAGUGUAUAGCCAAUCUGACCCAGCUCGAGUAGGUGCCCCCUUAGGCCUAGGUCCACAAGAGCCCCCAACAAAUCAAUGCAUCGGGCCUAACUCAACACAAAAAAACUAGUCAGAUAUGUGAUGGUUUUCCCUCACUUAUAUGUUGUACUCUCCCAGCAUCAAUUUCCCUAGCAAUGCCCCAGAUCACACAUCAGACUCAACUCUUCGAAUCACACAAUUCUUAUGUAACCUCUAGAAGAUGUUAUCAAGGCCCCGAGUCCAACGCUCCAUGUCACAUACAACCCGAGUCCAAAUCCUUCAUGUCACACACAAUCCAUGUGAUCUUCAAGAUGUUAACGGGCUUCCUCACCACCACAUGGCCCCUAAGAUUUGUAGUUAGAGCACUUGGGCAACAUCUAGCAAACCUACGUUCGACUCUAUGUGGGAACGAAUUUAAACAGGUCUAGAAUAAAAAAACAUAAAAAAUAGGUUGGGGUUUUCCUGUAGACUUUGGUAAAGAAAAGAUUUUUCAAGCCUUUCGACCAUGGACUCUAACAUCAAUUCUUAGAGUGCAUAACAGAUCUAUUCCAGUUCUCACCUAUACCCACAAGUCAGUGCCCCUCUACGCCAGGUCCACUAAUAAAUCAAAGAAAUAAAGCUAACUCAACCUAAACGACUAGUCUAUAGAUUGGGAGAACCAUAAAAAAUGGCUAACAUAGAUGGGUGCGUCCCAUGCCUAUGUUAAUAAAUUAAAAAUAAUAGAGAUAGCCUGUCGACGGGGCCUGCUAAGUCAAUCCACAAGGCUCGCCAAGCACAUUGACUUGGUGCCCCUGCCCAAACACCUAUCUCACCAUUGCCUGAUAGAGCCUGAGGCCUAGAUCUUCCUCCUCUAGCUUGUUCCCAUCUACAUCGCCACUGAGAGCAGCCCCACGCACGCCAAGGGGAGAAGCGCGGCCUGCCCCUGUGCUGCUGGUCAGAGUUGCCCACAAAGUGCACAUCACUGAGCGUGCAUGUAAUUAAUGCCACCAUGGCCGACCUCGCUCCCUCUCUGUGAGUGCACUCCAUGUGCAUUGAGUACCAUCACGUGACCUUAUCAGCAUGUCUCUAGCACUAUUUCUUCCCUCCAUGAUGAGCUCAAGUGCAAGGCCACGACCCUCCCAAACUACUCCACGAUGAGCUCAAGUGCAAGGCCAGGCCCUCCCCAACUACUUAUUUGAGCCAAGGCAUUGCUGGAGCCGGGUUGCCCUCACAAGCUAUUCACAUCCCCAGUGGCGCACCACACUACCACUUGGGUUUUCCAUGGGUGACAACUUUCACUACUUAUCCAUUGAAUCUGAGCCUGUUGUGAGCUUACAAACACCUUGGAUAUCAUCCUCCACCCCUCUUUUGAGCUUGGCCAUGCCAAAUUUGGCCUAUAUGCCCAAUCAUGGCAAUCCUAGGAUCAGCGUUUGGCCACCGUGUGGGAGGGAAGUGCAAGGGAGCACGAGUGCACACUAGCUGCAGUGGCCUCCGCAGCUGGAGCCAAGUUCAUGGUGGGUGAUGGUGAUGGUGUGCACCAUGUCCAAGCAUGUAGCUAGCACUCUAGUGAGCAUUGUGGCCGGGUUAAACCAGUGAUGCAAUGGAAAUUAUAGGAGAGAACAGUUGGGAGAGAGGGAGAGGACUGCAGUUUAAGAGGAUGUUGUGGGGAAGAGAAAGAAGAGGGAACAUGAAAUAUGACAUGUGGGCCCAGCUAACAUGUGUGGUUCACUAAGCGAAAAUAGCUAGAUCUCUAGUUGUUAACAAUUUUGAUAGUGGAACUGUAAAAAACUUCUGGGUUUGAAGUUUCAUGGCACAAAUCAAUAUCUUAAUGAUAAAAAAAAAGGAUUUUCCCGAAAUCAGUGCUAUUUCAAACCAAGAAAACUGGAGGACAUUUUUGUUACCUUUUCACUCAAGAGGCAAAGUGCAUCAUCUGGCUGAAGAACUUGAAGGUUGCACACAACUCCAUGUUUUCCUGAGCAGUGGUAGGCAAUAUUCUCCUCCCUCGUAGUGAUAAUGAUUCGGCUCGUAUUUUCCAAUAGAGGUAAUAACUUUGGUUUUAUCAAGUCCCAUUCAGAGGUCUCAAAGAAAUCAUCUAGAACAAUCAAAGAACUUUUCUUCUCUAAUAGUCUUUUCAACUCCUUAGUCAAGUUGUCGACGUCCAUCAAUGCUAAUGAUUUCUUAUUGUUGUUUCCAUUUUCUAAUAGUUCUUGAUUCUUAGAAGAUCCUUCAUGUAGUUGUCUGGCCAAGCUCCUAAGGAACUCUUCAAGAUUGAAAGGACGCAUAAUUGUGAUGAAAACGUACUUCUCAAAUAUGUCACUCAACUUUGGGCUUUGAUAAACACCACCAACUAGGGUGGUUUUCCCAAGGCCACCCAUUCCCCACACAAAGAUCACCUGAAAUUGUUGGAUAUUAUCACUAUUUGAAACUAAGUCUAUAAUUUUAGAUAUUUCUCUGUUUCGCCCGAUAAGUUGCAAUUCCUCCAAACCACUCACACGCGUCCUAGUGCGACUAAGACUCUUUUUAGCCACCUUCUUCUCAUCAGCAUCCAUAGAUUGAUCAUCUGUAAUCUCACCAUGAGGUGCUAUUUGAUUGUCGGUACUUGUGGUUGCCACAUCCAAGAUAGACACUGGCUUCACCAAAUCCUCUCCAUUUUGGGAACCCUAAAUAAAAGAGAGAAAUAUUAAGGAACAACUUUUAGGCUUAAAUUUUCAUGAACAAUGUUUAGUUUGUUUUCAGUCAUGAAAGCAUAUCAUUAGUUUGUACCCUACUCCAAACCUUAGCUUGAGAUCCAAAUUUUCAUGACUUAUAUUAGAAUUCUCAAUAAGACACAUAUUAUAUGAAAUUUAAAGAAAUAAAUUUAAUCCAAAUGACGAGAGGAUACAUUUGCUAUAUCAAACCAUCUUACUAUAAUCUCUAUGAGAUAGAGGAAAAUAUAUCUAACUGGAUAUGAAAUCAAAUACUCCAUAUCAAAAUUAUGUGUAAAAUAGGAGCUUCAAAUUUAAUUGUGCAAUAGACCUGUGCUCGAUUACUUACAGGUACUAUCUUGCAGGUCAAUAUGUUAACCAGUCUACUACAUCCUAUACAUUAUUUUUAAGGCAAGACAUCUAAUAUAUUUACCUGGUAUAAUUAAGAUCACUGAAUAUGAAGCAUGCCAUCAUCAAUUGUGGCGUCAAACAACGGGGUCAAUAUGUUUUUAGGUACUUGCCUUUUUUUUUGGAUUGUUGUCUUAUUUGAUGUCUAGACCAUCUCCUUUUCUAGCAUGCGCUAGCUAAAUUCUAAGAUAUAGAUGUAUUUGUUUUCAAAAAUCCAAAUACAUAUAUUUGUGGCUGUAGUAUUAACAUGUUGAGUGCAUGCAUUCUCGAAAGGCAAAUGAAAUUCGUUGAGAAAAAAAAGGCACAAAUAAAACAAAGGACUGGAAGGAGCAUUCUUUUGUUGCAUUAGAUCAUGUGUUUCUAGUGCAAUGCUACUCCAUCUCCGAUCCAAGAGUAUUUUUAAAGCUUACUCUUUAAAUCAUCAUUCGGAGAGUUAUUUGAAUAAAACUCAUUUUCUGUAUCUUUUCACUGUCUAAUGGUUUUUCUGUAUUUUGUUUGCAUUCUAAAGAGUCAUUCUUAUUUUAUAUCUUUGGCUAGUGAGAAAUAUUUCUAGACUAGAAAAUGGCUAUAUUUAAAUAACCAAUUAAAGAAGUUAUUGGAGGAUAGUUUUUCACCAAAAUUUCUAUUCCUAACCAUUAGGAAGAAUAUAGUCUCUUAGAGCAUGUCCAAGAGUUCCCAAUAAUUUCGUCCCAAAACUAUCUAUGAUGUUUUCCAACAUGCCAAGAAGUAUUAGCAUAAGAUCAUUUCCAACCGUUUCUAAUAGUUCACUCCUAAAAUAUAGAAAUAAAUUCUAUCAGGAAUCCUAUACUAUAUCUAAAUUAUGCUAACCAUCUUUAUAUAUUAUUUGUCUCUAGUGCAUUUGCAUCAUUAAACCUUUUUUUACUCUUUAUUCAGUCUCUUCAUCUCUGAAUAAAUAUGGUGUUUUUUAAGAAGCAAUAUGGUGUUCUAUAUGCUUGGUUUUUGAUAAAUAAAUAAAUAAACACCAUAUUGCUUCUGAAAAAAAACUACAGUUUGCUAAAAAUGAUUCUUUGGUGAAUGUGCAACCAUUGCAAGUGCUAAAGUUCCUUUACCCCACAGUAACCCUUAUGCUCACUCUCUUAGGCUCAACUCGUCAUCAUUUCAAACUAAAUGACACGUUCAAAAUUAUAAAUAAAUAAAUAAAUAAAUAAACACCAUAUUGCUUCUUAAAAAACAGUUUGCUAAAAAUGAUUAUUUGGUUUUGAAACUUGGUCCUUGCGCAAAUUGUAGCUCAAACAGAUGGGUGUAUCAUGCUAUAUAUCUCCCUCAUUCCUCCAAAAGUGUGAUGUUACUCCUCUGUCUCAAAAUAUAAAGCAUCACUACCGGAGAGCCGGUCUUUGCCGUGUGUCCCUCCGUUUGCCGUGAGCAACACCAGACACACGGUAUAUCUAUCAUUUGCCGUGUGUUGCACAUGGCAAACACCAGGCACACGGCGAACUCAACUUUUGCCGUGAGCAACACACGGCAAAAACAUGGCACACGGCAAAAGCUAACCCACGCUAACGUCCACCUCCAACGGUCAACGUUUGCCGUGUGCGGCCAUUAGGCACACGGCAAAGCCUGGGUUUGCCGUGUGCCAGGGGUGCGACACACGGCAAAUAAUUUAUCUUUUUUUCAGUUUUUGUCCUCAAAAUUUUUCCUUCUCUACACAUUCACCAUUUGUAACUCCAUACUCAAAUUUCAUAAAAUUUAAAACAUGUUUGCUAUAUUUUUGCAAUUAACAUUAUUUAUUUUCAUUUUUCUGGUUGCGUUCAAAUUUGAACUACGAGUCAAUAAAAUAGUUGUAAAAAAUAUCAAAAAAAUAAUAUUCAUGUUACCCAAUCCUGUUUGAGAACACACAUUCGAAAUGAAAAUGACUUUUGAAUGCCGUGGUUAGGAGACACGACGCGGAACGUGCGUCAGUACAUUUCAAAAAUUCUAAUAAAUGCUAUUUUAUUCCGUAAAUCCCGAAACUUGUAGAUAUGUCAUGUUAUCAUACAUAGAGGCCAUAAAAAAAGUUUGGAAAGAUUUCGAACAAGUUGUCAUGUAUGAUGUAUAGAAACCACACAGUCUUGUAAGAAGUUGCACAGAGAUAAGAGUGAAGAAGAAUGAGUUGGAGUAGAUUUGACUUUUAUAUUUGAGUUUGAUUUUAAAACUUUUUCUAUAGGCACUACACCAUAUAGGUUGUGUCGUGUCCAAGUUUAGGAAUUUUUCGGAAUUGUUUACUAUUUCUUAAUUAUUUUCAGCAUUUUAAUUGAAAAUUUUAAAAUUUCAAUUUUUUAAAUAACCUCGGAUGGAAAAACUCUCUAAAUAAACUUUAUAGAUCUCAAAAAGUUAUGAAACUCUUUAGUUGACAACUUUUUAUUUUGGAAUCAUCUUGUCAUGCAAAAACUACGUUUGAAUUUCUCAAAUUUAAAAUUCAAAUUUUGUAAACGACCUCGGAUGAAGAAACUCCCUAAAUGAAAAUUGUAGAUCCCAAAAAUUUAUAAAACUUUGUAGUUUACAACUUUUUGAUUUGAAAUCAUUUAGAACCUCAAAUUAUCAAUUUACACAUAAUUUGAUAUAAUAUUUGAGCAACUGAAAUGCAAUAUAAUGACAAGUCAUAGUGUGGUGCAGUGGCUAAGAGCUAAGUAACACGAGGGAGAGGUCAUGGGUUCGAAUCCCAUGGGCCGCAAAAAAAUUCAGGACUUUUGAUAUUUUUCGUUGGGGUUUGUCGUGUGCCCAACCCUGACACACGGCAAAUAUUGAGGCCGUCUUCCGCCGUUCGUUAUAUUUUCUUUAUCGUGUGUCAAGAUUGACUCACGGCAAAGUUUCGCCGUGUGCCCAUAAUUUGGUCGUGAGUAAAAAUAGGGUUCACCGUGAAAAAGUUUGUCGUGUGUUCUUUGCCGUGAGCAACACACGGCAAAGCCUUCGCCGUGUGUAAUUUGGACUUUGCCGUGUGCACCAGGCACACGGCAAACCCCUGCUGUCCGGUAGUGCAUGCAUGUAUUUCAAAAAUCAAAUUUUGUUAUCUUUAACCAACUAGUUGUUUAAUCAUACAAAAAGUUGAUAGUACAAAAGCGGUAUCAUUAGGUUUGUGUUUAUAAAUACUUUCUAAUAAUAAUGCUUUUGUUGUCAUAAUUACAUACUAUAAGAGAAAUUAACCGAUUUUUUCUUGAAUAUGUAAGAACAUUGCGUAUCAUUGUACUAAGAAGAUAGAAGUUUUAAAAUCAAGAGAGAUCAUUCCCAGCUAGUAGUUUCCUAGCUGAUUUGGGCCUCUAAAUUUGUGACCACCUGAGCCGGGUUUAAUGUUGUCAUCAUCCUCUCAAAUUCAUUGAAUCUCUCCGCCAGCGGGGAUGCCUCCUCCCCGUCGGCUCCUACCUAGCGCUCAACGACGCUUGUCAUAAAAAAAAUCCUUUGUUGGGUGAAACAAUCACACAAACAUUUGAAUAUAGGUGUAAAAUUGUAUUCAUUUUACGGUUUUACUGUACAUGUCAAAGAGGUAUUUAAAGAGGUCAUAGCCCUCAUAAGUCGUAUACAAAUGACCAUUUUACCCCUCUUUAUAAUCAAUACAACCCCUUUAAAUUACAGGGGUGUAGGUGUCCUUUCAUCUUCCAGAGUUCAUUCUUCAUUAUCUUUUGUCAAUCUUAGAAGUCACUUUCUUCAAAGGUGUCUUCGCGCACCUGAACUUGAAUGUUUUAUCAUGAAUCUUCUAGACUUAAGUCGAGCGAACUCUUCGAUCAUUCUUCACAUUACCUAGGCAAACGUGUUUGCUUCAAGCAAAGUCCAUGGUCUUUUUACUUGUUCUGAGCGAAGUCAUUUUUUCCUCAUUUGCUUUAAGGUUCUGAAAGCAAACUUUUGUACAGAGGUUAGAUGUUCAACUCCAAAGUUUUAGGGCUGCAUUUUUUAUCGAAGUCAAAUCUCAACAUCGUCUGCCCCUCCUCUCUCUUUACCAGACUUGAGAAAUUAAUAUUUUAAUAGAUACAAUGUCUUCUGGUAAAUGACCAUGAUUUUGUAAUGGUGCCUAGCACAUAUUAGUGUGUUAUUGACUUAUUGGUGUGAAAUGGUCAAUUUCAUUGAAGUUGGAUGUCCAUAGCGAUUUGCCAAACAAAAAAUAAUAUUUGGUUUUGAAUUGUUCUUGACUAUCUCUUUCCUCAUGUCUAAUAGCUUUAGCUACGCAUCUAGAUAUAUAUUAUAUCGAUAUAUAAUAAAAUUUAUGUAUCUAUAAAAGCCUAACAAUUUUGAAUUUGGAACGGAGUGAGUAAUAGGUAGAUAGAGAAAAGAAGAGAUAGAAAGUAUUAGAGAUAGAGACUAGCAUGUCUUGACGGCUUUGUGAGGAAUCGACUGAUUUUAGAACUCUGGUAUGGCACUGAUAGACAAUCCGGCAUAUUUUCAGUUGAUUUAUGUUGUAGUAUAUGUUAAUGCCGACAAGUACAUUUAAGGCCAGUCUCAAUACAUGUUUCAUGAAAGUGUCAUGCAUAUUAAAUAGGGUGCCACAUAAGUAUAAUUGCUGACUUGGUAGGGCCAUUAAAUGAAGGAGUUUCGUCAUCAUAUGAGAGAGGAGUUUCAUCCCCAUGAAACUCUUGUGGCUCGGUUACCUAGCUUAUAGUCUUAGUAACUGUGUCAUAAAACUAUGCACUGAGACUAGUCUAAGAGGAAAACUAAGCCGCAGCUUUGUAAGCUUAAACGCAUUUUUUAUAAGUUUCAUAAAACAAGGCAUUAUAUGUACCUUAUGCCUUCGAUCGAAACAUUAUUUUAAUUUCAAUUUUAAAAAUAUCUUCCCCAAUACAAAGUUGGAACUACAACAAGGUCUUGUUUAGUUCCUGCAAAAGGGUUUUUUAGUACUAUAACAUAUUUCUAAUUAUAGCAAUUAGUAUUCAAUCAUUAAUUAUCACAAUAUAUAUAAAUUAUAUAAUAAAUUAUUUUUUAUCUAUAUUUAAUACUCCAUAGAUAUAUCCAAACAUGGGUGAAAAACAAGGCCUUAGUUUUAUUCUUUAUAUGAGCUCUUCCUAAGCCCAGGGAAAGGGACACACAAACAACAAACCGAUCCGCUUUAUCUGAGGCUGAGCCCAGGGACCGAAGUUCAACUCUACUCAGAGGCCAGGGACCAAGGUUUAAUUAUUUGAAAUUGACAGGGGCCGCACGAGUGCAAAAACCAAUCCGCCUUAUCUGAUCUCAGGGACAGUUCAUCCAAAAUAAAAUACAUCUGAGCCCAGGGACCAAACUUUAAUUAUAUUUCUCAGAGCUAGGGAUCAAAAGUUUAAUUCUUUAAAAUUGGCAGGGGCCGCGCGAACGCGUACCCCCUCUACCACAAAUUAUGACGUCCACUCUCCCUCUUGGGGAGAUGGUAAGCUAGCGCACCCGCCAAGUGCAAUGCGGGCCACUGACCUAGGCCACGGGCCUUCAUGACCAACCGUCGACCCCGUCCAGGUAAGUAUGGAGCAACGGUGCAGGGGGCGCUUGUCUUAUAGCGGGAGCUCGCAGCGCAUCCAGCUUCCGCUGCCGAGGUGGUGCUAAACGAAGCGUUCUGCCGUGUUCUGCCGCUGAGUUUUUAACUUAUGGUGGGCUGCCCGAGACAUAGAGACGUAUAUGGGCCUUUAGGAUUUGGCCCACUAGGAACAGUAAGACUGCAGGCUGCAAUGAAUCUGCUAGGCUCCCUAGUUGUUCCUAAAAAAAAAGGGUAUGGGAAUAGUUUUCUAGGAUUAUUAUAAUUUAUAAGCUCUGUUGUUUUUUCUAAUCUGCAGCUACAUGCUCUCGUGGUAUAAAUGAGAGAAUUUUUUUGGAAAAAAAAGGCAAGAAAACUUACACAUGCUGCUACUCUGCUUUGAGACUGGGCAAGAGAAUGGCUUAAACCACAACCUGAACCUGAAGCGAACAAGUCCAAGAUUAUUUCUUAAUAAUAGGUUUAUGACUAUGCGUUGCAACAUUAGAAAAAAAAAAGUAAAAAAAAAUUUUUUGACCACAAUGAGGAGGGGCACAAAAACACAUGUAGUUGGGAUAAUUCCUGAUUUGUUAGGGCACUCCCAAUGCAGACUCUAUCAUAGUUUCUAUAGUUAUUUAUUAUCUCUCUAUUUAUUGACUUUUGCUGAUGUGACAUUGUAUUUAUUGAACAAAGAGAGGAGAAAUACAAGAAACCGAGUCUCUUGGUGUCCGCGCGUGGCCCGUGUAGCCGCCGGGCAUGUGUGACUGCGCCGAGCCGCACAGCAUCAGCCUCGCGCAAGUCCACGAUGCGCUCGCCGCCCCUGCAGUACACGGUUAUUUACUGAGUUUUAUUAUUCCUCUGUCCGUGAUGAUCGCAAUCGAAUCCGGCUCGUGAACCGUACGUGUUUCAGUCAACGUGCCAUCCGGAUUUAUACCCCUCCCUCCCUCCCUCCCGUCGCCGCUCCUUUCUUCUUUGUUUUCAAAAUACCUCGCCACAUCCGUCUCCAUCGUGCAGAAAUCUCACCAGCACCGUACCUCUCACCGUCGCCGCGACACCAUCUAGCUAGCUAGCUCGCCCGCACCUCACCGACGCCGCGGCUCAUCCAAUCACCUCACCGCAGCAUUCUGUACGUGCGGAUGUGGCAGCUCCAAUUAAUCACCUAGCUUCUUAGCUCUGGAGUCUGGACGGUGGCGGCUGCGGCGUACCAUCUGCAAUGACCGCGACGUCCGUUUCUCACCAGCGACCUCGGCUACAACCUGCAACGGCGCCCGACGGCUGCGGCUCAUCCCACCCCGUUGCCACCGGUGAGUGUGGCAUGUGUGCUUGCAGCCCUGUUCACCGUCGCUGAGUGUGGCAUCUGCUGCAGGCGGCGAUCGACGACCUUCUGACGCUCCUCUUUGUGGUGGUUUCAGCAAUGAUGACGCGCCGGUGGUGUGGAUAUAUAUGGCGAUGCCUCCCUUCUACACCCUCCGGCCAGCCAUGGGUGAAUCCCAUGUUAUUCUUUUUCGGUUUUCAACUUUCUUUAUGGCCUUCGUUGCAGUUUGAAAGGAUUCCUUGUGGCGUCAAUAAUGAUCUGGACAUCCCGUGCCUGGUGGCACGGAUCCGAUCGACGGCGGUUCAAGCAGAUCGACGACGAUUCUUUUUUUUUUUUUUGUGAAUGAUGAUUAAUUCAUUCUAAAUAGGUUUAAGGUUGCAGGAGUUGAUUUUCUACACCAUGUAAUUCUUAUAAUACAGAUACAAGUUUCCGCUAUUUUUAUUGGCCAUUCCUGUUCUUGUACACGAGCAAUACUGGUUAAUUCAUGUCAUUGUGUUAUAAAGGUUACCAAUUCAUAAUUACUAUUAUUCACUAUGAAUAAAAAACUUAUUCAUGUUAGAAAAAAACUUAUUCCUGUUAAAAAGUAGUCUAACCAGAAACCGGACACCUUUUACUUCUCAUAUCCAAAUUUACCACUCACAUAUCAGUACGGAGAAACUCCAGCCCAAGUCUUUUAUUUACAAGCUAUGAUAAAAAAAAGUAGGGGCUCAAAUUAAGACCCAACUCCAAUGAAAAAAACAGACCAAGUCCUUAUCUCACAUAUUUUUGUUUUAAUUUAUGGGUGGGGAGAGAAAAGUGGGUAGGAUCCAUUGGAUAGGAGGGUUCUAGAUGGGAGGGGCUGAAACUAUAAUUUGGAAGGGCAUGGAAAAUGGGAGCCCAAGUAGAAGGUGGGUUGGAGUUAAUUUUUUUGAUCAAGUCCUUAGAUUUAGAAUAGAGACUUGUUUAGGAGGUGGGCUGGAGUUGCUCAACAAUGAUACAAUUAGUAACAAAAGUCUAUCCGGAGACUGGAUGCCUCAUUGAUUAGUACAGACAAAUUUACCGCACAUAGCCAACCUUUUGUUACUAAAAAUUGUCAUUGUAAAUUCUAAAAUAUAUCUUAUUCAACAUGAAGUUGGCUGUAAUAUUUACGAAUCCAGAGAUAAUUUUACUCCUAAGCGCCUGGACGAAAUUAUUUAUAAGCUCAAAAGAUAAUAUCAGUAAUAAAAAAUACUCUGACUGUAGAACGACUAUGACAACCAAUUUAAUUGCCUACUGCUAAGGCUGAAAAAAUUUAUAGACCAAAAUAAAAAUCUUAGUAAUAAAAACAGGCUGACCACGUUGGUGAUUAUUACAAGAAAUUUUACUAGACACGCCCAAACAGAAUUAUUUACAAGCAUAACUAUUAAUAAUAAAAAUUCUCCCAUCCAGCCCGCUAGAUUAGCGCAACUAAAUUUACUGCUCACAAAUCCCAACAAAAUUAUUAAUGGGCCAAACGAUAAUAUUAGUAAUAAAAUAAUACUAGUAAUAAAAAAAUACUUCGCUGAUUACCACAUACAAAUUUACUGCUCAUAGGUUUGGAUGGAAUUCUAUACUCAAUGAAAUAAUAUUAUUAGUAAUAAAAUUUGUCUAAUUGGAGACCAGAGAUGUGGGUGAUUAACAUAGGUAAAUUUAUCGUUCAAAAACCAGAAUACAAUUAUUUACUUAAUAAAAUAAUACUAUCAGUAUUAAAAAAAAGUCUUGCUAGAGACCGAACACGCUGGUGCUUAUAGCACUGAGAAAUUUAUUGCUCACAUACCAGGAUAGAAUUAUUUAUGUAACAAAAUAAUACUAUUAUUAGUAGAAAAAGUCUCACCAGAGACUAAACACCCUGUUGAUUAGCAUAGAGAAAUUUACUGCCCAUAGGCCAGGAUGGAAACAUUUAAUGUAAGCAAUAAUACUAUAGUAACAAAAGUAGUCUAAUUGAAGACUGAACACCGGUUGCUUAUCGUACCCAAAUUUACCACUCACAUGUCAGUAUGGAAUUAUUUUUUAACAAAAUGAUACAAUUUAUAAUAAAAAGUCUAUCCAAAGACCGGAUGCGCUAAUGCACUAAUAGAAGUUGGUGAUGUUCAAUGGUAGGAGCGUAUUAUCCGCAACGAUUCACCCAAAACGACUGCGAAGGUUUGAGGAAACUAAGCAAAAGGGUUGUAUUGAGGGGGGCCUCGUCGGGUCCGGCCGUUCGGACGGAACGCGUCGUCCGGCAGACUCCCGCGCCCCAAUUCCCGCCUGGCGCCCACGACGAUUCCUCUUUUUCUUUUAGGAGAUCAAAUAGCACCGUGCACUAUAUAUUUAAUGAACCUUAUUAACUGUUUGUUGGUCGAAUUAUUUUGACUGUUUUUCUGAACUGUUUUUUUAGAGCGAGCUAUACAUUUUCUAAAUAACUGUUAUUGAAUAAAUUAGUUGAUAAUGGUUUUAGUGCCGAAAAUUACAUUUACCUCUGCAGCGCAGGUCGUUUUCAGACUGUUUCCAAAUUAGACCUUUAAUAAUGUACUUUUUCUAUGGCCGGUGCUGGUACGUAUUUAUUCUCACCCAUAAUAAUUAAUUUUGGCUUGUGACUUUAUCAUGCGCAGCUAGUGCGAGGAGAUAGUGGAGCAACAUAUCCAUGUUAGUUACGACGCAUGCACAUAAUGACUUUUAAUGAAAAAAGUCAUAACUCUUAAACAAAAUAUCCAAAUUAAAUUUCGAUUACACCAUUUGAUUUCUUGUAAUAAAUCCUUCAAAACAAGAUCUCACAUGGAUAUAUUUAGAUAAAAUUUUAAUAACGAAUAAUUAUCAUAUAAAGAUAGAACAUUUUUGUAUUGAGCUGAGACGAUGUUUAAGGUUUAAAAAAUAAUGUUCUAUCUUCAUAAUAAAAUAUUCUAAGAACCGUAUUGGUAUUAUAAACAUGGCGACGAUGUUCCAUCUUCAUUAAAAAAUAAUGUUCCAUCUUCAUAAGAGACGAUGUUCCAUCUUCGUUAUAGUUAGCAAAUCAAGUAUCCAAAUUAAAUUCAGAUUGCACUAUUGGAUUCCUUAUACUAAAUGCUUCAAAAUAAGAUCUCAACAUGAAUAUAUUCAGAUAAAGUUUUAUUAACGAAUAUGUAUUUUAUAAAGAUAGAAUAUUUUCUUUUAUUAUUGAAUAAAGGUGGUGUUCUAGAUUCAUAAAACAAUAUUCCGCCUUCACAGAAAAAUGUUUUAAAUUUAGAAAAAACAAUAUUCCAUAUGAAAACACACUUAAAUGAUUGGUAUUAUAAUACCGAUAAAUAAAUAAAAUAAAAAUAUAGAAUUAUAUAAUAAAUAACAUUACACAAGUAGAACAUCAUGUGUAUAAUAUAACAAAUGAAACAUGGGAAAAUACUACAUAACAUGUUGUAUAAAUACUACAUAACAUGUUGUAUGAAUACUACAUAAUAUGUUGUGAAAAUACUUAAAGAUAAUCAUAAAGUAUCUCAUUCAUCAUGUGUAUACCAUAUACAAUGGAAUAUGGAAAAAAUAAAAGGCAAACAUCACAUGUAUGUUAAGUGAACAUAACUAAAUACAUUACGGAACAUCACUAAAUAUAUUAUAGAACAUCACAAAUACAUUACAUGAACAUCACUCAGUACAUCAUAGAACACCACAUGUAUACUAAGUGAACAUCACUAAAUACACCAUAGAACAUUACUAAAUACAUUAUAGAACAUCAUAUAUAUAUUACCUGAACAUCACUAAAUAUAUCAAAAAAACAUCACAUGUAUACUAAAUGAACGUCACUAAAUUCACUAUCGAACAUUAACAUGAACAUCACUAAAUACAUCAUAGAGCAUCACUAAAUACAAUAUAGAACACCAUUAAAUACACUAUAGAACAUCACAUAUAUAUUACGUGAAUAUCACUAUGUACAUCAUCAUAUAUACUAAGUGAACAUCACUAAAUGAACCAUCGAACAUCACCAAAUGCAAUAUAGAACAUCGCCAAAUACAAUAUAGAAUGUUGCAUUAUCAGAUAUAUAUUACACGAACAUCACAAAAAAAAUCGUAGAACAUCACAAAAAUACCACAUGAACAUCAAAAAAAUAUCAUAGAACAUUACAUGUAUAACACAUGAACAUCAUAGAAAACCAUAGAACAUUACAUAUACUACAUAAACAUCAUAAAAAAACAUCAAAAAACAUGGCAUUGUAUACCACAUAAACGUUGCAAAAAACACCAUUUUACAUCACAUCUCAUGAAAUAUAGAAAAGAAAAAAGUAAAUAUAAAAAAUAAUUAAGUAAGAUAAAGUAGAAAAAUAAAAAAUCUAUAAAAAACAUAAAGACAAAAAAGAAAUAAAAAAGAAUAAAUAAAACUAAUUAAUGAUAGUAAAUAAAAAAUAAAAUAAAAAUAAUAUGGAAAAUUGAAUGAAACAGAAACAAAAAAUAAUAUCACUCGCUUCCUAUGAUAUUAGUCCACUAAAAAAAAUUAAACAACCACCAUAGGAUCAAUAUCAAGACGUUUGUAGCGUUUCAAUCACAUGCAUGCAUGUAUUCCACAAAAAUAAUCUAAUAAACACCUUUGUAACCAGCACUAAAUUAAUGUGUUGCCAAAAGAAACAAAAAAAUAAAAAGAUGAAUGAAAUAAAAAAUAAAAAAAAAGAAAGGGAAAAAUGAAGCGCAAAAAGGAAUAAAAAAUAAAGAGGAAAAAAUAAAAAAAAGAUAAAAAUAUAAAAUAACAUAAAAGAAAAAUAAAAAUAAAUUGAAUCUAUAAACAUGAAUUAGGGAAAAAGAAAAAGAAAAAAAACAAAAUAAAGAAAAGAAAAAAUCCCAAGAAAAAACAAAUAGGAACAACAACGGGCAGGAAGUAUAAAUGAAAAGAUAAAGAAAAAUAAAAUAAAAUAAGAAAAAAGAAAAAGAAAUAAAUAAAUAAAAAGAAAAAGAAAAAGAAAAAAAAAAGAGAAGAAAACUAACGGGGAGGGAAAAAUAAAUGAAACAUAAAAGGAAAGAAAAGAAGAAGAAAAGAAAAGGAAAGAAAAAACAAAAAAGGAAAAGAAAUUAAAAAAAAACAUACGUACCUGGCAGCCCCGUGCGCGCAGGAAUGAUUGAGCGGGAACCGUCGGACGACGUCUCCGGUCCGAACAUUCGGACCGGAAGAUUUCCGUGUAUUGAGGUGGGUGGGGGCAUGAAGUGUUUAGCGGCAUCCCAACUAUGUAAAAAAAGUGCAUUAUUACGACUGCAAUGGUAGGAGCGUCAUAUAUGCUGUUUUUAUUACUAAAGUUCCUUUAGACAAAGUUUCCCCAAAACUCGGACUCAGUUUCAAAACUAAUCGCCUUAUGCUUAGUUUCGGAUCAUCUUUCUUUAGCAAAAGGGUGGUGCUACGUGGCACUGCUGUCAGCACCCUUUAGUCCUGGCUCGUAAUACCAUCCGGGACUAAAAGGGGGGUCUUUAGUCCCAGAAGCGUAGUCUCGGCUCGGGAUCCGGGGCAAAAGCCCCUUCUCGGCCAGUACUAAAGAGCGAUCGUGUAGGAGUGAAUGGCUGGUAGUUCUAGACAUUAUUGUCGAUGGGAAAACCACCAUGUGCGGAUUGUGUGGCUGGCACUAGCACGAGUGCUGUUUCUAGUGUUACGACACUAAUUAAGUUGCUGCCUAUUGGUUCCUGGUGUGAAACUUUAUAGGGCGAUGUGUUAACUAGAACUGCUUUGUCAGCUCGUUACUUAGUUUUGAGCCUGUUGGUAUGUGUCUUUGCAUGCCCUGCCACGAUUUGGGGUCUUGUCAGCUCAUUUGCAUGGUUAGUUUUAUCCUUGAAGCCCCUAUCUGAUUUAAUGCAUGCUACAGCCAUAUCUGUGUUAAACUGUAUGUAAAGGCCAACGUUAAAUGACUGUCCUGGAAUGUUCAGUUCUUUUGGGGGAUAACAAUGGUACAUAUAUUCAUGUGGUUAAACCUCUGGUACUCCACCACUUCGGCUACUGAGUUCCACCACUUUGGGGGAGUUGUCGUCAGGACAUCGAUUCUACCACAGUCUUAAUCUGUACCCUAUUAGGCCCCCUAGCAAUCGAACACGAAAGCCAGCAGAUUGUAGCACAGCACCCUCCCUAAGCGCCUCUACACCAUUGGCGCUGGUCUCCUGGAUGGCUCUCACCAAAGCAACUUGCUAUCCCUCAAGCCGGGUGCCUUCAAAUUCUGACUAAUACUAGUAGCUAGUAGACUACUAGCUAGUUGCUGUGAUAUCAACAGCACAAUUUGUAGGAGACAGAUGCAUGAGGAUGUGAAUUAAAACACACAGCACGUUUGAUCGAACAUUUUGCUAUCCGAAGAAACCAGUGAUACUGUUGUCUUAUUUAGGAAGAAGAAGCGCAAACUACUAUUUCUGAUGUCACUGGAUCAUUAUCAGUUUCUACACUGCUUGUUCGUUGGAAUAUUGAUCAUUCUCUUUCCCAGUGCUCUCUUUCAUGCUUGACAUCCAUUCCUGCAACUGCAAGUACCAAUGUAUAGGCCGAGUCCAGUCUGAUGUUCCACAUAUCUAUCUAUUGGCAAACAAACCAUGGCUUGCACUCUUUGCUUCCCACUUCAAUAAAGCGCAUGCAUCUUGAAUGGUGACAAAAAAACAUCCAUUGCAGCAUAAAUGCCACGAUCGCAAGGAAUUUUUCUACAGCUAGUACUAUUAUACAAGAAAAACUAAAGAGCAGAUACUACAGCAGGAUUAAUAGAGUUCUCAACUAACACCACUUCUUUUGACUCUAAGCCACUAAUAGAAAACCGGUAGUAAGAAAGAAGAAGGGGGCCCCAUUAAAUACUAAACAAACUAAUAAAAGGUUACAAAUGGCAAGCCAAAGAACAACAAAACAAACAACUUUAGUACUUAAAUGAAGACAC